AUAUAAUAUUACAGUAUAGUGGUAUAGUUCAAUAUAGUAAUAUAUAAUGCUAAUAUUGUGCUAUGCUAAUAAUAUAAUAUAUUGUAUGUACAUACAGCUGUUCUGAGUCCCCUUUGGGGUGAAAAGGGGGGGAUAAAAAUGUAAUAAAUAAAUGUAGUAAAUGAAUAGAUAAAUAAUUUUAGAUUUAGGGUCUCCCAAAGUCUGAAAUGACUUGAAGGCACACAACAAUCUUAAUUAAUUGGCCAGAAGCAGGUCCACACUUCCCAUGGAAAUCCUGAUAGGUUUAUGUUGGUUACAAUUGUUUUUAUUUUUAAAUACUGUAUUGUUCUUUCAUUGUUGUUGUUUUGCACUACAAAUAAGACAUAGAAUCAUAGAAUAGUAGAGUUGGAAGAGACCACAUGGGCCAUCCAGUCCAACCCCCUGCUAAGAAGCAGGAAAUCGCAUUCAAAGCACCCCCGACAGAUGGCCAUCCAGCCUCUGCUUAAAAGCCUCCAAAGAAGGAGCCUCCACCACGGCCCGGGGGAGAGAGUUCCACUGCCGAACAGCCCUUCUCACCGUGAGGAAGUUCUUCCUGAUGUUCAGACGGAAUCUCCUUUCCUGUAGUUUGAAGCCAUUGUUCCGUUGUGUCCUAGUCUCCAAGACUUGCUCCCUCCUCCCUAUGACUUCCCCUCACGUAUUUGUACAUGGCUCUCAUGUCUCCUCUCAGCCUUCUCUUCUGCAGGCUAAACAUGCCCAGCUCUUUAAGCCGCUCCUCAUAGGGCUUGUUCUCCAGACCCUUCAUCAUUUUAGUCGCCCUCCUCUGGACGCUUUCCAGCUUGUCAACAUCUCCCUUCAACUGCGGUGCCCAGAAUUGGACACAGUGUGAUUCCAGGUAACGUGGUCUGACCAAGGCAGAAUAGAAUAAGGGGGAGCAGGACUUCCCUGGAUCUAGACGCUAUUCCCCUAUUGAUGAGGCCAAAAUCCCGUUUGCUUUUUUAGCUGCCGCAUCACAUUGUUGGCUCAUGUUCAUCUUCCUCCCCACGAGGACUCCAAGGUCUUUUUCGCACACACUGCUGUCAAGCCAGGCCUCGUCCCCCAUUCUGUCUCUUUGAUUUCCAUUGUGGAAUAUCUUGCAUUUGUCCCUGUUGAACUUCAUUGUGUUCAUUUCGGCCAAUCAUCUCUCUAGUCUGUCAAGAUCGUUUUGAAUUCUGCUCCUGUCUUCUGGAGUGUUGGCUCUCCCUCCCAGUUUGGUGUCGUCUGCAAACUUGAUGAUCGUGCCUUCUGACCCUUCGUCUAAGUCGUUAAUAAAGAUGUUGAACAGAACCGGGCCCAGGACGGAGCCCUGCUUGUGGCACUCCACUUGUCACUUCUUUCCACGAUGAAGACGACGCAUUGGACAAACACCACGAUGCUGCUCAUGAAAUCAUUGAGACAAUUCGGUGGGUCUGCGAGGAAAUCCCAGACCUCAAGCUCGCCAUGGAGAACUACGUCCUCAUUGACUACGAUACUAAAAGCUUCGAAAGCAUGCAACGGCUUUGCGACAAAUACAACCGUGCCAUCGACAGCAUUCACCAAUUGUGGAAAGGCACCACCCAGCCCAUGAAGCUCAACACCCGCCCGUCCAACGGCCUGCUCCGCCACAUCCUCCAGCAAGUCUACAACCACUCGGUGACCGACCCGGAGAAACUCAACAACUACGAGCCCUUCUCCCCGGAAGUCUACGGCGAGACCUCCUUCAACCUGGUGGCCCAGAUGAUCGACGAGAUCAAGAUGACCGAGGACGACCUCUUCGUCGACUUGGGCAGCGGUGUGGGUCAGGUUGUCCUCCAGGUUGCCGCGGCCACCAACUGCAAGCAUCACUACGGCGUGGAGAAAGCCGACAUCCCAGCCAAAUACGCAGAGACGAUGGACAAAGAAUUCAGGCGGUGGAUGAAAUGGUACGGGAAGAAACACGCAGACUACACACUGGAAAGAGGCGACUUCCUCUCGGAAGAGUGGCGAGAGAGGAUCGCAAACACGAGCGUUAUCUUUGUGAAUAAUUUUGCCUUUGGUCCGGAGGUGGAUCACCAGCUGAAGGAGCGUUUUGCCAACAUGAAGGAAGGGGGUCAGAUUGUUUCCUCGAAACCCUUUGCGCCUCUGAACUUCAGGAUCAACAGCCGGAACUUGAGCGAUAUUGGCACCAUCAUGCGAGUGGUGGAGUUGUCGCCCCUGAAAGGAUCCGUCUCCUGGACCGGGAAACCCGUUUCUUACUACCUGCAUACUAUCGAUCGGACCAUACUUGAAAACUACUUCUCUAGUCUCAAAAAUCCAAAACUCAGGGAGGAGCAAGAGGCAGCUAGGCGCAGGCAGCAGCGGGAGAACAAGAGCAACACCACAACGCCCACAAAAGUCCAGGAGAGCAAGCAGGAGGAGGGGGCGGAGGACGAGAAGGCCCCGGGGCCCAACGCCCUGAAGAAGGCCUCCCCGUCCAAACCCCGCAAGAAGAAGCUGAGCAAGAAGGGCCGCAAGAUGGGCGGGCGCAAGCGGGGCCGGCCCAAGAAGAUGAGUGUGGGCGGGGCAACCGAGCGCAAGGCCAAGAAGAGCCCGGCGGCCGCGGCGGCCGAGAUGCUCCACUCCCAGACCGCCUCCCAGGCCUCUUCCUCCUCUCCUCAGGAUGCCUACCGGUCACCUCACAGCCCUUUCUACCAACUACCUCCGAAAGUGCAGCGGCACUCGUCCAACCAGCUCCUGGGGGCCCCCACCCCGCCUGCACUCCAGAAGCUGCUCGACUCCUUCAAGAUCCAGUACCUGCAGUUCAUGGCCUACAUGAAGACCCCGCAGUACAAGGCCAACCUGCAGCAGUUGCUGGAAGAGGAGAAGGAAAAGAAUACUCACUUGCUCGGCAAGGCCCAGCAGUUGUUUACUCACUGUCAGGCGCAAAAGGAAGAGAUCAAGCGACUGUUCCAGCAAAAGCUGGAUGAGCUUGGGGUGAAGGCCCUGACCUACAACGACCUCAUCCAGGCGCAGAAGGAGAUCUCGGCCCACAACCAGCAGCUGAAGGAGCAGAGCAAACAGUUGGAGAAGGACAACGGAGAGCUCCGGAGCCAGAGUUUGCAGCUGCUGAAGGCCCGUUGCGAGGAGCUGAAGCUGGACUGGUCGACCCUUUCACUGGAGAACCUGCUCAAGGAGAAGCAAGCACUGAAGAGCCAGAUCUCCGAGAAGCAGAAGCACUGCUUGGAGUUGCAGAUCAGCAUUGUGGAGCUGGAGAAGAGCCAGCGGCAGCAGGAGCUGCUCCAGCUGAAGUCGUGCAUGCCGCCCGAGGAGUCCCUGCUGGCCCCGCCGCCCCGACACAAGGGCCCCCCCACCCGCGAGGCCGACCCCGACCCGGGCCUCUUCCCGCUGGAGCCGGAGGGCGCCAAGUUCCCGGCCCCCCUGCCCCCCCACCUCAACGGCAUGAGCCCCGAGCUCUCCAUGAACGGCCACGCCACGCCCUACGAGCUCCAGGGCGCCCUGGGACGGCCCCCCUCCAAGCAGAGCACCCCGCACUACCUGCCCCCCCACCUGGACCCCGACCUCGUCCCCUCCACGCCCAGCCACGGGCCCCGGCACAAGGCCGACCGGACCUCCUCCGCCUCCUCCGGCCUGGCCCUGCCCGACUACACCCGCUUCUCCCCGGCCAAGAUCGCCCUCCGGAGGCACCUCAACCAGGACCACGUGGCGGGCGCCAAGGUCGCGUGCGGCGAGAACCACCAGAGGGUGGAGCACCUCAAGGAGAACGGCCUGACCUUCCCGAGCCCGCCCGUGUCCAACGGCAUCAAGAUGAGCCCGGCGGACACCCGCCCGUCUUCUCCCGCCGCCAACGAGAAGGCCUUGCGCGAGAGCCGGGCAUGCGUGAGCAGCGGGGAGACCAUCACCAGCCUGCCCAUCAGCAUCCCGCUCAGCACCGUCCAGCCCAACAAGCUCCCCGUCAGCAUCCCCCUGGCCAGCGUGGUCCUCCCCAGCCGGGCCGAGAAGGUGCGGAGCACCCCCAGCCCUGUCCUCCAGAACCGCGACUCCUUUUCCACACUUGAAAAACAACAUGGUGCUAAUUCUCACAACGGCGCUAACCACAAGCCACUCACCUUGGCUACCUCAGGUUUUUCGUACGUGUCUGGUUCCGGGAUCCUUCCGGGCAGCCCGGCCCCGCUGAGCCACGGCAUGGACCACGCGGCCCUGGAGGACGUCUCCAGCUCGGGGAGCCUCUUCACCUCCUCGGGGUCUCGCAGCUCGACGCCCAUGCUGGCCAUGCCCUCGCGGACCACCUCGGGGCAGAGCUCGCCGGCCCACUCGGCCAGCCCGCGCCUGAACGGGGUGCUGCAGUACGUGGAGGGGCAGAAGGCCUUCUCGGAGGGCGAGCCGGCCUUCUCGGACCCGGAGAGCGAGGGCAAGCGGAGGAUCAUCUUCACCCUGAGCAAGCACAGCCCGCUCUCGGCCAGCGUCCGGGUGGAGUGCGGCCCAGCCUACGCGCAGGACGGGAAGAAGCGCGGGCGGAGGAAGCGCUCGUCCGCCGGAGCUCUCAGCGUGUCGCCCAAGCGCAAAUCUCUCCCCGCCGUGGCCGGGCUCUUCGCUCAGCCCUCGGGCUCUCCCUUGAAUAUCAACUCCAUGGUCAGUAACAUUAACCAGCCUUUAGAAAUAACGGCCAUUUCUUCCCCCGAAACCUCCCUGAAGAAUUCUCCUGUUCCGUACCAGGACAACGACCAGCCGCCGGUGCUGAAGAAGGAGAAGCCCCUUCCCCAGGCCAACGGCAUCCACUACUCGCCCCUCACGUCCGACGAGGAGCAGGCCUCCGAGGACGACCGGAACAGCGCCAGGAUCGAGAGGAAGAUCGCGACGAUCUCGCUGGAAAGCAAAUCCCCGCAAAAGUCGAUGGAAAACAGCCUCACGUUAGCCGGGCGGAAGCAGUCCGGCGAGAGCGUGAACAGCAGCAAGUGGAAGUCGACCUUCUCGCCCAUCUCGGACCUCAACCUGACCAAGACGCUGGACAGUCCCUUGCAGGCGAUGCCGCUGAACCAGAACUCCCUCUUCGCCGGGUUCAGGCCGUCCGCGGAGGACGGCGCGACCGGAGACGCCAAGGCCGCCCUGAGGAAGCACGUCUCUGACCAGAACGGGUUUGCUUACAACGGCGGGCUCUCGGAGGUCAAUUUGCACGGCUUUAUCGACGGCGCCGGGUUGUCGCAGAAGAGCCUCGACGUGGUGCAACGGGCCUCCGAGACAAACCCGUUCCUGAGCAAAAGCCUGGGGAAAGACGGCCACGAGCUCCGCCAGGCCAGCAAAGCCGGGAAAGGACGGGAGCGGGACGUGGUGGAGUUCAAGAACGGGCACAACCUCUUCAUCGCCGCCGCCCCCUCCGGCGGGCUCCUCAACGGCAAAGGACUCUCUCCUUCCGGGGGGUCGCCCGUCGUGGUCUCCUCCGCCGCCGUGGCCCAGGCGCACCACUCGUUCCUGAACUCGCCGUUCCCCCUGGGGCCCAUGGUGACCAACCCCUCGGUACUCCAGUCCUUGUUUAACUCGAUGCCGGCCGCCGGCCUGGUCCACGUCUCCUCGGCCACCACCCGCCUGACCAACUCCCACCCCAUGGGGGGCUUCUCUCCCGGGGUGACGGGCGGAACAGUCGGAGGUAUUUUUAACCAUGUGGUGCCUCCCGCUUCCUCCUCCUCUCCCUCUAUAUCCGCCGCCUCUUUUGCUCCCUCCGUAUCCGCGUCUUCCUUCGCUCCCUCCGUAUCCGUGUCUUUUGCUCCCUCCGUAUCCGCAACCUCCUUCGCUCCCUCCGUAUCCGCCGUGCUCGGCUUGAAUGUUUUGCCGGUAGCCCCGCCCGCCAACGAGGACCUCCGCGUCCCCGCUCCCCCCAACGUCUCCCUCCUCACCCCGCACCCCGAGUCCCUCCUCUUCCCCGGUCUCUCCGCCCUCCCGCCCUCCUCUUCCUCCUCCGCCGCUAACUCCGCUUUGUCUGUCAAACUAGCGUCACUCCAGCACAAAACCUCCCGCCCUUCCUUCACCGUCCACCACCCGCCUCUGCCUCGCUUGGCCCCGGCCGCGGCCCCCCCACAGACCGCCCCGGCCGCGAUGUGGGUCGCCCUGGGCACGCAGCCGCCUUACGCCUCGCACCUGCCGGGGGUUAAGCCGCGGUAAGGAUGGCCGACCCCCCGCCGGGACCCCCCGAGUCGCCAGUGCUCCGCAAGGUAACUAAGACUUCUACCUCAACCCAACGUUGACCUAUGCAAGGACGACCGGGACCAACGUCUUCUCAGCUUCCACCGAAGGUGCUGUUUUGCUUCGGCAGCUAUCCAAGCGUUUCUCCUUCCCUUCCUUCCUUCCUUUUUUUCGUUCUUCCUCGGUGUGUUUCUUUUACUACUGGACAGAAAACAAUCAUAAAAAAAUGAGAAAAAAUUCUACUGUGAAUCUUAAGUUAAAUAUAUAAAGAUAUAUAUAUAAAUAUAUAUAUUCCAAGUUCAGAAUGCGUAGGAUCCGCCUCCGGUUUGUUACUGUCGAUAGAUUUAGAUAUUUAUAUAUCUAUAUAUAUAUUUUUAAAAGGUGUCAAACACACACGGGCGCGGCGUUAUUUUUUGCGGGGAGUCGGUCCGAAGGAAGGCGAUUGAGCAUGCUCGGUUUUUUUAUUAUUAUUAUUAUUAUUAUUUCGGGGUGGAAAUAAAUGACUGGCACACCAGCAGAGACGUCACAAAAAAAUAAUAAAAAGGCUUUCUUGUGGUGCUAUCGACUUCCAGCAGGAACUGUGCCUGUCCGGUUUCAGAAAUGUGGUGCUUUUACUUGGUUUUUUAAAAAAAAAAUAUGGCGAAAAGUGAGGCUGACGUUGUUUUGUUGUGUAUUUAUUCCCGAACGGCGCAAAAUGGAGCAAAAACGAGAGUUUCUCCUAUUGCGUCCUUCGCUAACUGGUCCGGACUCCGACGUAAUUCCGAUUCCAAAGGGGAUAAUAAAUGCAUGGAUAUAUAUUUAUGUGUAUUUAUUCCCGAACGGCGCAAAAUGGAGUAAAAAUGAUAGUUUCUCCUAUUGCGUCCUUCGCUAACUGGUCCGGACGCUGACGUAAUUCCGAUUCCAAAGGGGAUAAUAAAUGCAUGGAUAUGUAUUUACGUGUAUUUAUUCCCGAACGGCGCAAAAUGGAGCAAAAACGAUAGCUUCUCCUAUUGCGUCUUUCACUAAAUGGUCCGGACAUCGACGUAAUUCCGAUUCCAAAGGGGAUAAUAAAUGCAUGGAUAUAUAUUUAUGUGUAUUUAUUCCUGAACGGCGCAAAAUGGAGCAAAAACGAUAGUUUCUCCUAUUGCGUUCUUCGCUAACUGGUCUGGACGUCGACGUAAUUCCGAUUCCAACGGGGAUAAUAAAUUCAUGGAUAUAUAUUAUUAUUAUUAUUAUUAUUAUUAUUAUUAACUUUAUUUUUGUACCCCGCCUUCAUCUCCCCAUAGGGACUCGAGGCACCUAACAUGGGGCCAAACAAGUAUAAUACAACAAAAUAAAAUAUAUACAAGAGACACAACAACACCCGGUAAAAAUGCUUAUACAAUAACAUAGUGAAACUAAACAUAAUUAAUAAUAAUAAUAAUAAUAAUAAAACUUUAUUUAUACCCCGCCAACAUCUCUCUGCGGGGACUCGUAACAGUAAUAUAAUAAAACGAGAGUAUUUCUUCGACCUUGAGGACCCUUCUUCUUCGCCGCUUUUUUACAAAUUCUUUCCGAUUUUCUGCACCUGAUUCUCUCCCCAAUCAGAAGCAGACUUAUAUUUCUGUCUAAACUAAUGUUAUCAUAGGUUGCUAAACUCCUCUCCUUAACUGCGGGGUAUAAAUAAAGUUAAUUUUAUAUAUAUAUAUAUCUUAAUUCUGGUUCAGUCGGGAGAAUAUUCAUGGUGCUUGUUUGUGACUCGAAAUAUUCGGGCACCCAGGUGCGUCUUAACAGGGGUGCCUCUGCCUUAGGCGGAGUCGAAACCAUCACCCCUUUGGACUUCGGUGCUCAUCGUCCCCAAAAUGCGUUUCCCGAAAUCCCCAGACUUCGUCGGCGGGUGCGAAACAUCACAAUUGAGGGAACUCCGGAAACUCGGUGGACGAAAACAGCCCCAAAGCUGCUUACAACACAUUUGGACUCUGCUCGUUGAGUCCAGUUUGGGGUCUUCCUUGUGUUCUAGAGCUCCCAUUCGUUGGGGACGCUGGGUGUUGCACUCCAUGGUAUUUUAGUUCCCUUUAUUUAAUGUCGACCGCUCCUUUUGGAUACUUGAUUGUUGCGGAAAAGCGUUCGGCUCCUACAAUGUUUUGUCCUUUUGCUGGUUCUUUGCUUUGCUUUUUGGUCUCGCUUUGGCGCCGUUUCUUUGCUUUGCUUUGUUGUCGCGGCGAUUGAAUCGUUUCUAUGAGGGUCGGGCUUCCGUCUCCACUUUCCCACAAAGCCCGGUGUGUUUUAUUUAAUGUUGACCGGAAAAGCGUUCGGAUCCUACAAUGUUUUCUCCUUUUGCCGGUUCGUUGCUUUGCUUUUUGGUCUCGCUUUGGCGCCGUUUCUUUGCUUUUUUGUCUCAGCUAUUGAAUCGACCGCUCCUUUUGGAUACUCGAUUGCUGCAGAAAAGUGUUCAGCUCCCACGAAGUUUUCUCCUCUUGUCGGAUCUUUGCUUUGCUUUUUUGUCUCGCUUUGGCGCUGUCUGGUGAUUGAAUUGUUUCUAUGAUGGUCAGGCUUCCGUCUCCACUUUCCCAAAAAGCCCGGUGUGUUUUAUUUAAUGUUGACCGCUCUUUUUGGAUACUUGAUUGCUGCGGAAAAGCAUUCGGCUCCCGUGACGUUUUCUCCUCUUGCCGGUUCUUUGCUUUGCUUUUUGGUCUCGCUUUGGCGCAUUUUCUUUGCUUUUUGGUCUCGGCUAUUGAAUUGACCGUUCCUUUCGGAUACUUGAUCGCUGCCGAAAAGCGUUCGGCUCCCACGACUUUUUCUCCUCUUGCCGGUUCAUUGCUUUGCUUUUUGGUCUCGCUUUGGCACCAUCUGGUGAUUGAAUCAUUUCUAUGAGGGUCAGGCUUCCGUCUUCACUUUCCCACAAAGCCCGGUGUGUUUUAUUUAACGUUGACUGCUCUUGUUGGAUACUUGAUUGCUGCGGAAAAGCAUUUGGCUCCUACGACGUUUUCUCCUCUUGCCGGUUCUUUGCUUUGCUUUUUGGUCUCGCUUUGGCGCAUUUUCUUUGCUUUGCUUUUUUGUCUCAGCGAUUGAAUCGACCGCUCCCUUUGGAUACUCGAUUGCUGCAGAAAAGCAUUCGGCUCCCGCGACGUUUUCUCCUCUUGCCGGUUCUUUGCUUUGCUUUUCGGUCUCGCUUUGGCGCCGUUCCUUUGCUUUGCUUUUUUGGCUCGCUUUGGCACCGUUUUUGUAUCGCACUUAAUAUACUUUCUUUUUUAAAAAAAGAAGUAAUUUGUGACCUGUGAUCGGUGUACAAAAUUAGUGUUUUUUUAAAGGCAGUGCUGAUUAUUUUUUAGUGACAGAUUUUUUUAAUACACACACACAUAUAUAUAAGGUGCGCUAACGCUUUUGGGAUUCAAACCAGGAAGCUUGGCUUUAUUUAUUCGAACCUGCACUCGAUCCUCGAUCGGCCGUGAUAACGCAAUAAUCGGUGUCAUUUUAGCCAUCUUAACGGUGCUCCCGUGUUGUACAACGUACCAGGAAUCACAUCACAAAGAAAUAAGCUCUGAAGCUGUGUUUGCUGAUCGAAUCUCGGCGAGCACGGAUUCGGGAAAGACCAGACAAAUGAGAUUUGUCUCGUUUUUCCCUUUUAGUGCAGCUGGGAAUCAAAUUCAAGGAGGGUUGAAAAGCUUCUCGCGUCCCGUUCAAAUGGGCGAAAGAUCUUCAAGAUCCCGCAUCUUAAAAACAAUGUUGGUGCUACGUACACAAUACUGGUUUUACAACCCAGCCUCCUGCUAGGACCGGGUGCUAAAAUAUACGGGCGAGGAUAUGUCUCGUCUUUUCGUUUUUCUUGUCGGGUCGUACCACGUUUUUUUGACUCCUUCAACAACUUAACCCUCACCCUCUUCUUUCUGGUGCACAACAUGGUGCUAUGGGUUGUGUGUUUGCCUGUCCGGUGUGGGAUCUUGCCUUCUCCGUGGCUGUUUUCGGGCGUUGCCGCAGACCAUCUCCCAUCCCUUGCCAUUUUUAUCAACACAAGCAAAGGUGUUAUUGAAGGUUCUCGUGGCUGAAAUCAGCAGAAUUGCGGUGAGUUUUCUGUGUCUGGGCAUGUUCCGGAAGCAUUCUCUCCUGACGUUUCGCCCACAUCGAUAGAUACGAUAUCCGCUGUGCGUCUUACCCAAGCAUCCCCCACGUACCUGUCCUUUUCCAUCCAAACCAUGAGUCCUCUUCAUCCUUUCCAAUGAAAUGGCGAAUUAUAAUUUUUACACGCUGGUUUAGUGACUCGUCGUACCGUGAGAUAGAUUUUGAUAAUUCUUCGAUGGUUAAGAAAGGGCUAAAUUGAGACACAUUCGCCUUCGGUCUCAAUUUACCGACAAACAUAAUAAACACACACUUCCCAGCUAUCGGCUGAAACCAGCGACACAUGAAUUUAUUAAAGUAAAAAACGUCGAUCAUGUCGGAUGCUUAAAUGUUACGCUCCGGCGAGACUAUGUAAAUAGUGUAUAUUAAUUCAAUAAAGAUAAGAACCGCUGGUUUCAGCCGAUAACUGGGAAGUGUGCAUUUAUUUCUGUGCGAGGGUUAAAUUGAGACACAUUCGCCUUCAGUCUCAAUUUACCGACAAACAUAAUAAACACACACUUCCCAGCUAUCAGCUGAAACCAGCGGCACAUGAAUUUAUUAAAGUAAAAAACGUCGAUCAUGUCGGAUGCUUAAAUGUUACGCUCCGGCGAGACUAUGUAAAUAGUGUGUAUAUUAAUUCAAUAAAGAUAAGAACCGCUGGUUUCAGCCGACAACUGGGAAGUGUGCAUUUAUUUCUGUGUGAGGGUUAAAUUGAGACACAUUCGCCUUCAGUCUCAAUUUACCGACAAACAUAAUAAACACACACUUCCCAGCUAUCAGCUGAAACCAGCGGCACAUAAAUUUAUUGAAGUAAAAACGUCGAUCAUGUCGGAUGCUUAAAUGUUACGCUCCGGCGAGACUAUGUAAAUAGUGUAUAUUAAUUCAAUAAAGAUAAGAGCCGCUGGUUUCAGCCAACAACUGGGACUAAGAUUGCUAGAUCGCCAGAGAAGAAGGUAAAUUGAGACAGAAUGUGAAUGUGUCUCAAUUUAACCCUCUCUUGACAAAUCUGUUUUCUCUGCGCGAGAAUCGGUCGGCGACAGGAACGAACUGCUGCUCAGGAAUUCGUUUGUAAGAUACGUAUAAAUAUAUCUGUACAAAAGAGAAAGGAAUUUGUGUGUAAAUGGAUCAAAGGGAGUACAAAGGGUGAUGAAUUAUGGGAGUAUUUUCUUUCAUUAUUAUUAUUAUUUUGUACCCCAUGGAAAUGAGCUUUAUUUAAAACCCAACAGCAGCGUUCUUUCGAUUUUUGUCUCGUUCUUUUCCGAUUCCGCUCCCAUCCCUUUGUUUCGCCCGUCAUUCUUCCAUGUCGAGCUCACACGCGUGUGUGUAUAUAUGUAAUGAUGAUAUUAAUGAUGAUGAUGAUAAUAAUUAUCUAUAUAUAUUUUUUCCUGGUCCUUUGCACCGCAAAGUUGUUUUCCUUCCGUUCUAACCUCCGCUCCGGAAUAAUCGCCUUCCACUAUCUCACCUUGGUUUGUAAUUUUUUGGGGGGAAAAAGGCUUUGGAGUUUUUGUCUUUAUAUUAAAACGAAAUGUAUGUAUUUUAAUACACCGUAAACCCAU
Anolis carolinensis (green anole) is the source of this 11756-nucleotide RNA transcript. It is a transcript of the gene named DOT1 like histone lysine methyltransferase, with no coding region annotated. The transcript is spliced from 29 exons. NCBI's taxonomy places the organism in Eukaryota, Metazoa, Chordata, Lepidosauria, Squamata, Anolidae. The record is from RefSeq and is a predicted model, not a curated record.